Molecule: ribosomal RNA, 527 nt
Filed under: Halomonas sp. M20-C2
Lineage: Bacteria; Pseudomonadati; Pseudomonadota; Gammaproteobacteria; Oceanospirillales; Halomonadaceae
Description: bacterial SSU rRNA
Rfam family: Bacterial small subunit ribosomal RNA
Source: RNAcentral
UGAGCUUGAUCCUGGCUCAGAUUGAACGCUGGCGGCAGGCCUAACACAUGCAAGUCGAGCGGAAACGAUGGAAGCUUGCUUCCAGGCGUCGAGCGGCGGACGGGUGAGUAAUGCAUAGGAAUCUGCCCGAUAGUGGGGGAUAACGUGGGGAAACCCACGCUAAUACCGCAUACGUCCUACGGGAGAAAGCAGGGGAUCUUCGGACCUUGCGCUAUCGGAUGAGCCUAUGUCGGAUUAGCUAGUUGGUGAGGUAAUGGCUCACCAAGGCGACGAUCCGUAGCUGGUCUGAGAGGAUGAUCAGCCACACUGGGACUGAGACACGGCCCAGACUCCUACGGGAGGCAGCAGUGGGGAAUAUUGGACAAUGGGGGAAACCCUGAUCCAGCCAUGCCGCGUGUGUGAAGAAGGCCUUCGGGUUGUAAAGCACUUUCAGCGAGGAAGAAGGCCUGAGGGUUAAUACCCUUCAGGAAGGACAUCACUCGCAGAAGAAGCACCGUGCUAAUCUACACGUGCGCACGACAGCCUCC